This 253-nucleotide ribosomal RNA is filed under the name uncultured bacterium. RNAcentral describes it as "partial 16S ribosomal RNA". It matches the Rfam family "Bacterial small subunit ribosomal RNA", at positions 524 to 776 of the family's 1533-position model. The record is from RNAcentral.
UACGUAGGGGGCAAGCGUUAUCCGGAUUUACUGGGUGUAAAGGGAGCGUAGACGGCGAUGCAAGCCUGAAGUGAAAGCCCGGGGCUCAACCCCGGGACUGCUUUGGGAACUGUAUGGCUGGAGUGCAGGAGGGGUAGGCGGAAUUCCUAGUGUAGCGGUGAAAUGCGUAGAUAUUAGGAGGAACACCGGUGGCGAAGGCGGCCUACUGGACUGUAACUGACGUUGAGGCUCGAAAGCGUGGGGAGCAAACAGG